This 513-nucleotide ribosomal RNA is filed under the name uncultured bacterium. Its description in RNAcentral is "bacterial SSU rRNA". It matches the Rfam family "Bacterial small subunit ribosomal RNA", at positions 25 to 518 of the family's 1533-position model. The record is from RNAcentral.
CAGGACGAACGCUGGCGGCGUGCCUAAUACAUGCAAGUCGAGCGGAUGAUGAGAGAAGCUUGCUUCUCUCUGAUUAGCGGCGGACGGGUGAGUAACACGUGGGUAACCUACCUUAUAGAUUGGGAUAACUCCGGGAAACCGGGGCUAAUACCGAAUAAUACUUUUAAACACAUGUUUGAAAGUUGAAAGACGGUUUCGGCUGUCACUAUAAGAUGGACCCGCGGCGCAUUAGCUAGUUGGUGAGGUAACGGCUCACCAAGGCAACGAUGCGUAGCCGACCUGAGAGGGUGAUCGGCCACACUGGGACUGAGACACGGCCCAGACUCCUACGGGAGGCAGCAGUAGGGAAUCUUCCACAAUGGACGAAAGUCUGAUGGAGCAACGCCGCGUGAGUGAAGAAGGAUUUCGGUUCGUAAAACUCUGUUGCAAGGGAAGAACAAGUAGCGUAGUAACUGGCGCUACCUUGACGGUACCUUGUUAGAAAGCCACGGCUAACUACGUGCCAGCCGCAGC